Molecule: ribosomal RNA, 232 nt
Filed under: Brochothrix thermosphacta DSM 20171 = FSL F6-1036
Lineage: Bacteria; Bacillati; Bacillota; Bacilli; Caryophanales; Listeriaceae
Description: partial 23S ribosomal RNA
Rfam family: Bacterial large subunit ribosomal RNA
Source: RNAcentral
AGGUUAAGUUAGAAAGGGCGCACGGUGAAUGCCUUGGCACUAGGAGCCGAUGAAGGACGGGACUAACACCGAUAUGCUUUGGGGAGCUGUACGUAAGCUUUGAUCCAGAGAUUUCCGAAUGGGGAAACCUACUAUGCUUGAUCGCAUAGUGUCUUCAACUGAAUACAUAGGUUGUUGACGGCAGACGCAGGGAACUGAAACAUCUUAUUACCUGCAGGAAGAGAAAGAAAAA